CCUACGGGAUGCAGCAGUGAGGAAUAUUGGUCAAUGGACGAGAGUCUGAACCAGCCAAGUAGCGUGAAGGAUGACUGCCCUAUGGGUUGUAAACUUCUUUUAUAUGGGAAUAAAAUGUUCCACGUGUGGGAUUUUGUAUGUACCAUAUGAAUAAGGAUCGGCUAACUCCGUGCCAGCAGCCGCGGUAAUACGGAGGAUCCGAGCGUUAUCCGGUUUUAUUGGGUUUAAAGGGAGCGUAGGUGGAUUGUUAAGUCAGUUGUGAAAGUUUGCGGCUCAACCGUAAAAUUGCAGUUGAAACUGGCAGUCUUGAGUACAGUAGAGGUGGGCGGAAUUCGUGGUGUAGCGGUGAAAUGCUUAGAUAUCACGAAGAACUCCGAUUGCGAAGGCAGUUCACUGGACUGCAACUGACACUGAGGCUCGAAAGUGUGGGUAUCAAACAGGAUUAGAUACCCCAGUAGUC
RNAcentral lists this ribosomal RNA (460 nucleotides) under uncultured bacterium. RNAcentral's name for it is "partial 16S ribosomal RNA". It matches the Rfam family "Bacterial small subunit ribosomal RNA", at positions 338 to 795 of the family's 1533-position model. The record is from RNAcentral.